GAAUCAUUUUGCGAUGUCGAUGUUGGACAAGCGAGCAAUCCAGAGGUCAGAAAAUGUUUGCAACUCGUGUCAGAUAAACAAUGAAACAAAAACGACUAUGUCUAAGGGUACUAUUUGUGAAGAGGCAUUUUGUGAGCAGUGUGAAAAAUGUCAUAAAAAUGUAUAAAAAUUGGUUUCAUACAUUAAAACAGCAGAAAAACCAGAAACAUGGGCUUCCACAUUACCGACGAACCAUUUUGUGAUGUCAAUGUUGGACAAGCGAUCAAUC
This 268-nucleotide long non-coding RNA is filed under the name Mytilus galloprovincialis (Mediterranean mussel). The record is from RNAcentral. Lineage: Eukaryota; Metazoa; Mollusca; Bivalvia; Mytilida; Mytilidae.